Molecule: long non-coding RNA, 394 nt
Organism: Oncorhynchus tshawytscha (Chinook salmon)
Lineage: Eukaryota; Metazoa; Chordata; Actinopteri; Salmoniformes; Salmonidae
Source: Ensembl
UAUAUAACCUCAUUAGGAGCCCCCUGUAUAUAACCUCAUUAGGUGUCCCCUGUAUAUAGCCUCAUCAGGUGCCCCCUGUAUAUAACCUCAUCAGGUGCCCCCUGUAUAUAACCUCAUCAGGUGCCCCCUGUAUAUAACCUCAUCAGGUGCCCCCUGUAUAUAACCUCAUUAGUAGCCCCCUGUAUAUAACCUCAUUAGGAGCCCCCUGUAUAUAACCUCAUUAGGUGCCCCCCCUGUAAUAUAACCUAAUUAGGAGCCCCCUGUAUAUAACCUCAUUAGGUGCCCCCUGUAUAUAGCCUCAUUAGGUGCCCCCUGUAUAUAACCUCAUUAGGUGCCCCCUGUAGAUAACCUCAUUAGAUGUCCCCCCACGUAUAUAACCUCAUCAGGUGCCCCC